GCACUGGUGAUUCAAAGGUAGAAUUUCCCCCUUCCAUGCGGGAGACCCGAGUUCGAUUUCCAUCCAGUGCA
RNAcentral lists this transfer RNA (71 nucleotides) under Loxodonta africana (African savanna elephant). It matches the Rfam family "tRNA". Rfam says of the family: Transfer RNA (tRNA) molecules are approximately 80 nucleotides in length. Lineage: Eukaryota; Metazoa; Chordata; Mammalia; Proboscidea; Elephantidae. The record is from Rfam by way of RNAcentral.